Molecule: ribosomal RNA, 495 nt
Filed under: uncultured bacterium
Lineage: Bacteria
Description: partial 16S ribosomal RNA
Rfam family: Bacterial small subunit ribosomal RNA
Source: RNAcentral
GACGAACGCUGGCGGCGUGCCUAAUACAUGCAAGUAGAACGCUGAAGGAGGAGCUUGCUUCUCUGGAUGAGUUGCGAACGGGUGAGUAACGCGUAGGUAACCUGCCUGGUAGCGGGGGAUAACUAUUGGAAGCGAUAGCUAAUACCGCAUAAGAGUAGAUGUUGCAUGACAUUUACUUAAAAGGUGCAAUUGCAUCACUACCAGAUGGACCUGCGUUGUAUUAGCUAGUUGGUGAGGUAACGGCUCACCAAGGCAACGAUACAUAGCCGACCUGAGAGGGUGAGCGGCCACACUGGGACUGAGACACGGCCCAGACUCCUACGGGAGGCAGCAGUAGGGAAUCUUCGGCAAUGGACGGAAGUCUGACCGAGCAACGCCGCGUGAGUGAAGAAGGUUGUCGGAUCGUAAAGCUCUGUUGUAAGAGAAGAACGAGUGUGAGAGUGGAAAGUUCACACUGUGACGGUAUCUUACCAGAAAGAGACGGCUAACUACGUG